This 74-nucleotide transfer RNA is filed under the name uncultured Clostridium sp. Its description in RNAcentral is "tRNA-Gln(ttg)". It matches the Rfam family "tRNA". Rfam says of the family: Transfer RNA (tRNA) molecules are approximately 80 nucleotides in length. Their secondary structure includes four short double-helical elements and three loops (D, anti-codon, and T loops). Further hydrogen bonds mediate the characteristic L-shaped molecular structure. tRNAs have two regions of fundamental functional importance: the anti-codon, which is responsible for specific mRNA codon recognition, and the 3' end, to which the tRNAs corresponding amino acid is attached (by aminoacyl-tRNA synthetases). tRNAs cope with the degeneracy of the genetic code in two manners: having more than one tRNA (with a specific anti-codon) for a particular amino acid; and 'wobble' base-pairing, i.e. permitting non-standard base-pairing at the 3rd anti-codon position. Lineage: Bacteria; Bacillati; Bacillota; Clostridia; Eubacteriales; Clostridiaceae. The record is from RNAcentral.
UUGGGCCAUCGCCAAAAGGUAAGGCACAGCACUUUGACUGCUGUAUUUGCCGGUUCGAAUCCGGCUGACCCAGU